GAGACAGAGAGAGAGCAUGAACAGGGGAGGAGCAGAGAGAGAGGGAGACACAGAAUCUGAAACAGGCUCCAGGCUCUGAGCUGUCAGCACAGAGCCCGACGCGGGGCUCGAACUCACAGACCGUGAGAUCAUGACCUGAGCCGAAGUCGGACGCUCAACCUACCAAGCCACCCAGGCGCCCCUCCAUCUGUCUUUUUAAGUGGCCACAACUCGGAGGACCAAGGGGCAGGGGUGAAGCCUCCAUUCUGUGCCUGGGAAGUUGAGGCUCCGGAGACGGACAUUUGUCAGGGUGGAGGCAUAUGAAAAGGCGAAGAACUGGCCUUCUGCCCCAGCUGGCCUGGUGACUUCCUUUUUUCACUGUUGCUCCAUGAGUGCAAAGGUCUUCCUUUUAUUCACUGCUCACUGCUGUAUCCCCUCCCCCAACUUCUAAAAAUGUCUAGCACAAAGCAGACACAUCAUAGACAUUUCAGAAAUGGAUGCAUAUGGCACAAAACCAAAAUGAUAGGACAAGAUUAGCAGUGAGAAGCUUUAUUCCUACCUAUUCCUUGAUUCACAGGUA
Molecule: long non-coding RNA, 559 nt
Organism: Neofelis nebulosa (Clouded leopard)
Lineage: Eukaryota; Metazoa; Chordata; Mammalia; Carnivora; Felidae
Exons: 3
Source: RefSeq, a predicted model, not a curated record